UCUUGUUAUGCAGCAAAAGUGAAAGUAAGACAGACCAGGAAACUUUUAAGUCGUCGUGCACGAGGCAGGUUAGAUUUUUAAGAACAUCGCCUUCCUAACACAGAGAGAACCCCAGUAAACCUCACCGAGGGAUAAUAAGCUGUCAUUGUGCCAUACAGGAAAGUCCUUUACCGAAGGCGCUGAACAGCUGAUGGAGUCUAUCAUCAGAGACUUUGAGGCCUCUGUAUCAUUGAAGUUGGGUCUGUGUGCAGAAUAUACAGAAGUAAGAACACAUGGCUUCUACAACACAGUCUGCCUCAGAUUACAUCAAGAGUCUAAGAUUUCACCUUGUGGAAAAGAGUCUUUUAAAGAAUCAUUCAGUGAUUCUGGAGAACUUGAAUCAGGAGAACUCGGAUAAGAAAAAAGUUUUAAGUGAUGAGGAGGUCUGUGAAAUAGAGCAAGCAGAGAAAACUGACUACAAUAAAGCCAGAAGAAUACUGGACUCAGUCAUUAAAAAAGGAGAAGCAGCCUGCUAUGAGUUCCUCAGGAUUAUUUACAUGACGAGGAAGAGGACAUUAGAUCCUGAACUGCACCCCUGGAUCAGCUGCUUUCCUUUCAAAGAAGACACAGAAAUGGAUACAAACUACUUACAAGGCUCAAGGCCAUGCCUCCGAUAUCAGGGAAAGUUGAAGUCAAAAGCACAAAAAAUAUCAGAUAAGUUUUGGAUGGCAAACAAAAAUCAGUUUAAAGGAAACAACAAGUCUGAUCUGUCGUAUAUGUCACUUGUGUUAGACACACAAGGAAAGGAUUCUCCAUCUAAAAUAAAGAAGUUAAAGAACAAGAAAAUGAA
Molecule: long non-coding RNA, 829 nt
Organism: Perca flavescens (yellow perch)
Lineage: Eukaryota; Metazoa; Chordata; Actinopteri; Perciformes; Percidae
Exons: 4
Source: RefSeq, a predicted model, not a curated record